Molecule: ribosomal RNA, 486 nt
Filed under: Cryptosporidium sp. rat genotype III
Lineage: Eukaryota; Apicomplexa; Conoidasida; Eucoccidiorida; Cryptosporidiidae
Description: SSU rRNA
Rfam family: Eukaryotic small subunit ribosomal RNA
Source: RNAcentral
AUUAGGGUUCGAUUCCGGAGAGGGAGCCUGAGAAACGGCUACCACAUCUAAGGAAGGCAGCAGGCGCGCAAAUUACCCAAUCCUAAUACAGGGAGGUAGUGACAAGAAAUAACAAUACAGGACCUUUAAUGGUUUUGUAAUUGGAAUGAGUUAAGUAUAAACCCCUUUACAAGUAUCAAUUGGAGGGCAAGUCUGGUGCCAGCAGCCGCGGUAAUUCCAACUCCAAUAGCGUAUAUUAAAGUUGUUGCAGUUAAAAAGCUCGUAGUUGGAUUUCUGUUAAUUACUUUAUAUAAUUUUACACUUUCGUGUAGUUAUAUAGUAUUAACAUAAUUCAUAUUACUAUAUUUUUUGUAGUAUAUGAAAUUUUACUUUGAGAAAAUUAGAGUUCUUAAAGCAGGCUUUUGCCUUGAAUACUUCAGCAUGGAAUAAUAAUUAAAGAUUUUUAUCUUUCUUUUAUUGGUUCUAAGAUAAAAAUAAUGAUUAAUA